UUGUGCUUUUCACGUAGGGGACUUUUGAAGAAUGUUUUUGAAUUGUUGUAUGCGUUUUCCCGUCCAAUUCAAUAACUUAAGGAAAACUUGAAGAUUAAAAAAGUGCUGUUCACGGUUAAUCUGGAGUAUUGAGAUUCACAAUUUAUUGAAAGAACAACUGAAAAUCAAUUUAGGUUGCAUAUGUGUCAUGUGUGGAGAAGAACCCUCUAGCUAGUCCGUCAUUUAUCAUUUUACCUUAAUUUUAUGUUUUUAUCAAUUCUGUAAUUUAAUUAAGUUUAAUUUACUUUUCAUCAAAACCAAACACCCAUCCAUUAUUAAAUUAUAUUAUUUAGUUAGUUUUCUUUAUUGUUAGUCUUUUAAUUUAAUUUCCGUCCAUUUCAGUUCCUAGUGUUUAAAUUUAAUUGUUUUCAUUAUUUUGAGUCAUUUUAAGUUCAAAUGGAGCCGAGGGAAAUUUAAAGGAAAGAUGCUCAUUUUAAGUGUGUUUCGAGUUAUUAGAGUUUUUAGCCUAAUUUUGUGUCCUUGAGUCUUAUUUAAUAUUUUUAAAUUAAUUUAGAAUAGAUUAGCAAUCCCUCCUAAUCCCCGGCCUAGAACGAUACCCUACUUACAUCUAUACUACAAUUGUCAAAAAGAGGGUUUAAUUUGUGUGUCAAGUAAUUUUCGCAUC
Molecule: small RNA, 664 nt
Filed under: Malus domestica (apple)
Lineage: Eukaryota; Viridiplantae; Streptophyta; Magnoliopsida; Rosales; Rosaceae
Description: sRNA MD17G0148900
Source: RNAcentral